UACGGAGGAUCCGAGCGUUAUCCGGAUUUAUUGGGUUUAAAGGGUGCUCAGGCGGGCCAUUAAGUCGGCGGUGAAAUUUUGCGGCUCAACCGUAAAAGUGCCUUCGAUACUGGUGGUCUUGAGUGUGGAUGAGGUAGGCGGAAUUUGUGGUGUAGCGGUGAAAUGCAUAGAUAUCACGAGGAACUCCGAUUGCUAAGGCAGCUUACUAAGCCAUAACUGACGCUCAAGCACGAAGGCGUGGGGAUCAAACAGGAUUAGAUACCCGUGUAGU
This 271-nucleotide ribosomal RNA is filed under the name uncultured prokaryote. RNAcentral describes it as "partial 16S ribosomal RNA". It matches the Rfam family "Bacterial small subunit ribosomal RNA", at positions 524 to 794 of the family's 1533-position model. The record is from RNAcentral.